CCUACGGGAGGCAGCAGUGGGGAAUAUUGGACAAUGGGCGAAAGCCUGAUCCAGCAAUGCCGCGUGAGUGAUGAAGGCCUUAGGGUUGUAAAGCUCUUUUACCAGGGAUGAUAAUGACAGUACCUGGAGAAUAAGCUCCGGCUAACUCCGUGCCAGCAGCCGCGGUAAUACGGAGGGAGCUAGCGUUGUUCGGAAUUACUGGGCGUAAAGCGUACGUAGGCGGUUAUUCAAGUCAGAGGUGAAAGCCUGGAGCUCAACUCCAGAACUGCCUUUGAAACUAGAUAGCUAGAAUCUUGGAGAGGUGAGUGGAAUUCCGAGUGUAGAGGUGAAAUUCGUAGAUAUUCGGAAGAACACCAGUGGCGAAGGCGACUCACUGGACAAGUAUUGACGCUGAGGUACGAAAGCGUGGGGAGCAAACAGGAUUAGAUACCCUGGUAGUCCACGCCGUAAACGAUGAUAACUAGCUGUUCGGGCUCUACGAGCUUGAGUGGCGCAGCUAACGCAUUAAGUUAUCCGCCUGGGGAGUACGGUCGCAAGAUUAAAACUUAAGGAAUUGACGG
Molecule: ribosomal RNA, 560 nt
Filed under: uncultured bacterium
Lineage: Bacteria
Description: bacterial SSU rRNA
Rfam family: Bacterial small subunit ribosomal RNA
Source: RNAcentral